Molecule: long non-coding RNA, 521 nt
Filed under: Homo sapiens (human)
Lineage: Eukaryota; Metazoa; Chordata; Mammalia; Primates; Hominidae
Description: HSALNT0074427
Source: RNAcentral
GGAAUUCUGGAGGUCCUGAACCUGGGAGAGGACAGAAGAGGGAAGAAAUGCUUUAAGGGAAGUAUGGGGUUCCUGGGUGCUGGCUUUUAUUUUUCUCCACUAAACAGUGCUGUAGGGAGGCUUAUUUCUGAAAACAAGGACAUGCCAUUGAACGACUUAUUUGUAAAUGUCCUUGCUCAUUCUUAAGCUCAUACUAUGUGCCGUGUGGCUUUGAAGGCAGGCACCUCACUGCUUGGUGUUUCUGCUGAAAUCACAUGGUCACCCACUGUCUAUGAACACGGCCCCUAAACCCUGUCAUUCUGCUGCCAGGCCCUCUCUGUGGGCUGUGGCUUUGUAAGGGAAGAGGCAGUCACGAUUCUCCUCCAGAUGCAAAUAUUCAGCCCUCACUCUGACAUGUUUCACAGUUUAAUUUCUUUCUCUACUAUCACUGGGUCAAAAUUCUUGAAACAAACAAAAGGAUAUAACCUGACAAAUUAUUUUGCAGACAAAGUCCACCAUGCUGCCAGGCUUUGCUGCUUCCU